Molecule: ribosomal RNA, 120 nt
Filed under: Petromyzon marinus (sea lamprey)
Lineage: Eukaryota; Metazoa; Chordata; Hyperoartia; Petromyzontiformes; Petromyzontidae
Source: RNAcentral
CGCGACAACCAAAGCACCCUGAAUGUGCCUGAACUCAUCGGGUAUCAAAAGAUAAGCAGGUAUGAGCCUGGUGAGUACUUUGUUGGGAGACUACCGGGGAAUGUCGGCUAUUUGUAACCU